This 643-nucleotide ribosomal RNA is filed under the name Lissanthe strigosa subsp. subulata. Its description in RNAcentral is "eukaryotic LSU rRNA". The stretch from base 263 to 418 matches the Rfam family "5.8S ribosomal RNA". Lineage: Eukaryota; Viridiplantae; Streptophyta; Magnoliopsida; Ericales; Ericaceae. The record is from RNAcentral.
UCGAAAGACCGCCAAGCAAAAAGACCCGCGAACUUGUCUCCACGUACUAUUGGGAGUGAUGUGAUGGUUGCGGACUUUUUGCGUAGCCUUCCAUUAUCCCCUUGUGAGUACAUGUGCACUGACCCUUCGGAUGACGUGCUCAUUUUCUCGUCAAUCAACGAACCCCGGCGCAAGAUGCGCCAAGGAAAAUUGAACAAGAGUGCACGCCCCCAACCCGUUUGCGGGCGGGUAUUGGCGUAUGCAAUCUUCCGUACAACCAAACGACUCUCGGCAACGGAUAUCUCGGCUCUUGCAUCGAUGAAGAACGUAGCGAAAUGCGAUACUUGGUGUGAAUUGCAGAAUCCCGUGAACCAUCGAGUCUUUGAACGCAAGUUGCGCCUGAAGCCAUUAGGCAGAAGGCACGUCUGCCUGGGCGUCACGCAUUGCGUCACCUGCUCCCCCUUGCCUAAGCGUGCAUGUCGGGGCGUGGGUGGACAUUGGCCCCCCGUCCACGUUUUGUGGUCGGUCAGCUUAAAAAAGAGUCCCCAAUGACGGACAUCACGACAAGUGGUGGUUGCUAAAUCGUCGCAUCAUGUUGUGGAUGCCAUUGUUUGUUGUGGGUUGGCUCGUUGACCCUAAAGGUGCUAGUACUUGCGGCACCCCG